GCGAAUUAAACUGUAUUAUAUAUGGCUAAGCGGGACCUGCGUACCUCUUGAAUACAUGCUGUAGCUAAUCAAGCAUAUUUCUUCUUAGCAAGUGAGUGGGGUCCUUAAUUUCUUUAAUUAAUUUGAUGUUAAUGAUUAGUCGCCAUCUUAAUUAUCAAACACUUCCGAAAAGGAACCGCAGAUUUAAUUUUACAAGUUCUAUUGUGUGUGUGUGUAUAUAUAUAUAUAUAUAUAUAGAGUAGGGCUACUAUACUCUUAUGAGUAGUGGACCCUUACUACUCAUAAGUUGUUUUCGAUGAUGGAGCUUCCGAAUCGACGAUCCACUCCGUUAAAUAUGAUCUAGAGCAUUUAAAACUUCUAGAAAUUAAAUUUCAUAAUUUUUCAACAUCAUUUACCUUAUGAUCAAAAGCUCACAAAAUUGACAAUUUUUAACGGCCGGUAUGGGAUACUUGCUAGUUUAACGGUGGAAAAGAAUCGGAAUAGGUUGAAUUUUUGANA
This 498-nucleotide long non-coding RNA is filed under the name Ananas comosus (pineapple). RNAcentral's name for it is "long non-coding RNA (ACOM_LNC000745)". Lineage: Eukaryota; Viridiplantae; Streptophyta; Magnoliopsida; Poales; Bromeliaceae. The record is from RNAcentral.